RNAcentral lists this transfer RNA (63 nucleotides) under Capillaria sp. cat-2018. RNAcentral describes it as "tRNA-Leu". The record is from RNAcentral. Lineage: Eukaryota; Metazoa; Nematoda; Enoplea; Trichinellida; Capillariidae.
AUCAGUGUGGCAGAUAAAUUGCAAUUGACUUAAACUCAAUACAUAAUUUUAAAUUCUCUGAUA